RNAcentral lists this ribosomal RNA (1376 nucleotides) under uncultured bacterium. Its description in RNAcentral is "bacterial SSU rRNA". It matches the Rfam family "Bacterial small subunit ribosomal RNA", at positions 27 to 1394 of the family's 1533-position model. The record is from RNAcentral.
GAUUGAACGCUGGCGGUAUGCUUAACACAUGCAAGUCGAACGGAAACGAUACUAGCUUGCUAGUAGGCGUCGAGUGGCGGACGGGUGAGUAACGCGUAGGAAUCUGCCUGAUAGUGGGGGAUAGCCCGAAGAAAUUCGGAUUAAUACCGCAUAAUCUAUUCGUAGUAAAGUGGGGGACUUUCGAGCCUCACGCUAUCAGAUGAGCCUGCGUAAGAUUAGCUUGUUGGUAGGGUAAAAGCCUACCAAGGCGACGAUCUUUAGCUGGUCUGAGAGGAUGAUCAGCCACAUCGGGACUGAGACACGGCCCGAACUCCUACGGGAGGCAGCAGUGGGGAAUAUUGGACAAUGGGGGCAACCCUGAUCCAGCAAUACCGCGUGUGUGAAGAAGGCCUGAGGGUUGUAAAGCACUUUCAAUUGUGAAGAAAAGUUAGCGGUUAAUAACCGUUAGCCUUGACGUUAACUUUAGAAGAAGCACCGGCUAACUCCGUGCCAGCAGCCGCGGUAAUACGGAGGGUGCAAGCGUUAAUCGGAAUUACUGGGCGUAAAGCGUGCGUAGGCGGUUUAUUAAGUCAGAUGUGAAAGCCCCGGGCUUAACCUGGGAACUGCAUUUGAAACUGGUCAACUAGAGUAUGGUAGAGGAAAGUGGAAUUUCUGGUGUAGCGGUGAAAUGCGUAGAUAUCAGAAGGAACAUCAAUGGCGAAGGCAGCUUUCUGGACCAAUACUGACGCUGAGGUACGAAAGCGUGGGUAGCAAACAGGAUUAGAUACCCUGGUAGUCCACGCCGUAAACGAUGAUAACUAGCCGUUGGGGGGAUUUACCCUUUAGUGGCGAAGCUAACGCGUUAAGUUAUCCGCCUGGGGAGUACGGCCGCAAGGUUAAAACUCAAAGGAAUUGACGGGGACCCGCACAAGCGGUGGAGCAUGUGGUUUAAUUCGAUGCAACGCGAAGAACCUUACCUGGUCUUGACAUCCUGCGAACUUUCUAGAAAUAGAUUGGUGCCUUCGGGAACGCAGUGACAGGUGCUGCAUGGCUGUCGUCAGCUCGUGUCGUGAGAUGUUGGGUUAAGUCCCGUAACGAGCGCAACCCCUAUCCUUAUUUGCCAGCACAUCAUGGUGGGAACUAUAAGGAGACUGCCGGUGAUAAACCGGAGGAAGGCGGGGACGACGUCAAGUCAUCAUGGCCCUUACGACCAGGGCUACACACGUGCUACAAUGGGAAGGACAAAGAGCCGCGAAGCCGCGAGGUGUAGCUAAUCUCAUAAACCUUUUCGUAGUCCGGAUUGGAGUCUGCAACUCGACUCCAUGAAGUCGGAAUCGCUAGUAAUCGUAGAUCAGAAUGCUACGGUGAAUACGUUCCCGGGUCUUGUACUCACCGCC